UACAGAGGUCUCAAGCGUUGUUCGGAUUCAUUGGGCGUAAAGGGCGUGUAGGUGGCGCCGUAAGUCGGGUGUGAAAUUUCGGAGCUUAACUCCGAAACUGCAUUCGAUACUGCGGUGCUUGAGGACUGGAGAGGAGACUGGAAUUCAUGGUGUAGCAGUGAAAUGCGUAGAGAUCAUGAGGAAGACCAGUGGCGAAGGCGGGUCUCUGGACAGUUCCUGACACUGAGGCACGAAGGCCAGGGGAGCAAACGGG
RNAcentral lists this ribosomal RNA (253 nucleotides) under uncultured bacterium. Its description in RNAcentral is "partial 16S ribosomal RNA". It matches the Rfam family "Bacterial small subunit ribosomal RNA", at positions 524 to 776 of the family's 1533-position model. The record is from RNAcentral.